This 687-nucleotide ribosomal RNA is filed under the name Triticum aestivum (bread wheat). RNAcentral describes it as "partial small subunit ribosomal RNA". The record is from RNAcentral. Lineage: Eukaryota; Viridiplantae; Streptophyta; Magnoliopsida; Poales; Poaceae.
AUGUGCGCAAUGGCGAAGGUGGCCGACGGCAAGCUGGAGGUGUUUGUGGGGGCCAACUUUGUUACCGAUGAGAUCCUCAAUUAUAUUGGUGUCAGGUCGCCCUCUCUCAAGGUGCUUGCCCUCUUAUCAUGCUACCAUGUAACCAGCGAAGGGUUCACCGAUCUGGUAGCCAAGUGCCCUCAGCUAGAAGACAUCGAGCUUUCGGGUUGUGUAGGUGUCCGUGGCGACGUAAUGGUGGCCACUGGCAGGGCAUGCCUGCGGCUGAAGCGGCUGGUGCUGGACAAAACGUGGAGGCGCAGGUGGGACAGCGGGGAGGUGGCAGGCAUCUCGAUGAUGCACGAGCUCCGGCACCUUAGCCUCGCCCGCAGCGAAAUCACGAACGAGGAGCUCAUGGCCGUCCUCGACUCCUGCCCGUGCCUGGAGUACCUCUCGGUGGUCGACUGCUACAACAUAGUUGCUGACAGCGCCCUGCGAGCAAAGUGUGGCACUGUCAAGACGCUGGAGCUUCCGACUUCACAGGAUCACCUUUAUGAUUGGGAUGAGUUUUAUGCCUAUGGGUUUGGGACCGCUUCCUACCAUCGCUGGAUGUCCGACGAUCGCUACGCUUCGAAUGGGCCUUAUGAUUAUGAGUUUGGGACCGCUUCCUAUGACCAUGACGUCGACUAUGGUUGGAUGCCGGAUGACUAA